AUGAGCUUCGCCCCACAGCCUAGCUCAUACCAAAACAAUUACUCAUAUGGGUGGCCUGAAAACCAGAAUAUGUCAUAUAGGAGCAACAACCUUGAGAUCUCACCGUUUGCUUCUAGUAAUCAUAUGCAGGGAUUUAGGUAUGAAGAGGAGAGCAACAACUAUGCACCACAACAAUUUUAUUCACCUCCUACUCAUAUACCUCAACACCAGGAGAUGUGUCCAAUGGAGUUAAAUGGUCCUCCACUUGGUCAACCAAUAACUCCAGCACAUGUUGAGCAAUCUCAUGCACAAGUGCCCACACAAGAUGACUUUGAUGAUAUAGACAAGCUCACAUUGCUUAGUCUCGAGUUCACUUGGAGUGUUGAAGAUGAUCCAAUUAGGCCGAUGAUACUAGAUGAAAUGAACAAGAUCAAGAGUGGAAAAGAGCUAGUGAAAGAAGUAAGGAAAAUUGAGAAGAAUAUCAAUGCCGGGUGCAGUAUCUCAUCCCUCCUUGAGCUGAGUGUUGCUGGGAUAUCCCUUGUGGUGUGUGAGGUUUCAACACCGUCACAUUCAGCUGAGCAAGAUAGCAAGAGUCCAGAGGAAGAGACACUUCAGAUCCAAGAAGAAAUACUUGAAGACAAGGAACAAGAUGAUCCUGAGCUGCAUCUAACGCCCAUGAUGUGGCUAUAUCUCCCACGUGUCGAAGCACGACUUAGAGGCAUAACCGCAUUGUAA
Molecule: ribosomal RNA, 714 nt
Filed under: Triticum aestivum (bread wheat)
Lineage: Eukaryota; Viridiplantae; Streptophyta; Magnoliopsida; Poales; Poaceae
Description: partial small subunit ribosomal RNA
Source: RNAcentral